AGUGAACGCUGGCGGUAGGCCUAACACAUGCAAGUCGAACGGCAGCACAGUAAGAGCUUGCUCUUACGGGUGGCGAGUGGCGGACGGGCGAGGAAUACAUCGGAAUCUACUUUUUCGUGGGGGAUAACGUAGGGAAACUUACGCUAAUACCGCAUACGACCUACGGGUGAAAGCAGGGGAUCUUCGGACCUUGCGCGAUUGAAUGAGCCGAUGUCGGAUUAGCUAGUUGGCGGGGUAAAGGCCCACCAGGGCGACGAUCCGUAGCUGGUCUGAGAGGAUGAUCAGCCACACUGGAACUGAGACACGGUCCAGACUCCUACGGGAGGCAGCAGUGGGGAAUAUUGGACAAUGGGCGCAAGCCUGAUCCAGCCAUACCGCGUGGGUGAAGAAGGCCUUCGGGUUGUAAAGCCCUUUUGUUGGGAAAGAAAAGCAGCAGGUUAAUACCCCGCUGUUCUGACGGUACCCAAAGAAUAAGCACCGGCUAACUUCGUG
Molecule: ribosomal RNA, 492 nt
Filed under: uncultured bacterium
Lineage: Bacteria
Description: partial 16S ribosomal RNA
Rfam family: Bacterial small subunit ribosomal RNA
Source: RNAcentral